Molecule: small RNA, 112 nt
Filed under: uncultured Ensifer sp.
Lineage: Bacteria; Pseudomonadati; Pseudomonadota; Alphaproteobacteria; Hyphomicrobiales; Rhizobiaceae
Description: Alphaproteobacterial ar15
Rfam family: Alphaproteobacterial ar15
Source: RNAcentral
AGCUGAUGCAUAUGGCGGUUCUCCUCCCAAUGCCGCCGCAGCAGCUGUUCCCCUCUGGAGGUUUAUUGACCUUCACACCUUAUGGGCCGCGGUCUUCCGUCGGCCCUUUUUU